CUUGCGCUCAGACCCUUCCUGUGGGACAGGAUCUCCAGGGAAGCCCCACAAACACCCCCAGGGGUUCCCAUUCAAACCUUCAUGGAUUUCACAGCUCAAUCCCUCUGCACUUCCCAGCUCCUCCUGCGGGACCAACAGCUGCAGUGAGGGGGCAAUGAAUGCAUAUCCCACAGGAGAGGGAAACAGUGGAAUAUCCUCAUCCAAGACAUGUCUGGGAAAGGAAAGAUUUCUUGAAGGAUUUUGGAUUUGGAAGAGCAGCACCUGAGCUCCUGGAGGCCCCAGCGGCUGCCAUGGGGAGCGGCACACAUCUGGGGGAGGCGUGCGAAGUUCUCUUCCACCUGACAUCCCUCUGAGCGUUUAAACCCAACGAGUCCCAGGUCAACAGCAAACCUCCCACCGGCUCCGUAGGGUUGGGGCUGUGCCUCAGCCUCUCUGCUAACAAGAAGAGACAAGCUGAAGUGAGCGCUCAGACAGCAACCAUCAGGAUUUCACAGCGUGUUUUGCCAGCAACUUGUUGUUUUUAUUCAGUGAGGUUUUUUUUUUCCCUCCUCUGUGUGCUGUAGCGACUCAGCUCCAUCCCGGGCUGCUCCUGACAUUAACAAGGCAGCAGAUGACAGGCAAAAUGCGUCCACCAGCAAUUCUGAGUCUUCCCGCUAAGUAAUCAUAAAUGCUGCAAGUUUGCAACAAAGCGAGCAGCUGUCUCUCUCCCUCUGGACAAGAACUGCUUCCUCACAAAUUGAGGCUCUGCUGGGUUUUACAGCUGUCGGACAAUGAGUCUGGUGCUGUUAUUUCCUCUUCCUCCCCCCCCCCCCCCCCCCCACCCCCUUUUCCUUUCUUUUAAUGGAAAAUAUCUCAGCUUCGCCAGAACUCGAGUGGGCCCUCCAGCAGUGAAUCGAUUCAGUCAGGUGAUGAGGCUUUAAGGUCUGUUCUGGAGUGGGCACAGAGGGGCUGUGUUCCUGCACAUCCUCCUUCCAAGGCUUUAUUACCUUCGAUCCCACUCUUACGGGGAAGCAGACAUCUGUUUGGGGCUGGCAGAGGGUUUAACGGCGCACAACUGCCAUCCCAGAGAAUGGAGAGGGUUGGGACAGCCCCUGGGGAAGGUAACCUCGAGCUUUGCAGUUUCCUUCCAGACUGCUACAGCAUGGAUGGAGCCCCCAAAGAAACCUUCAUUCCUGUCCUAAAUGCAAGCAAAUGGAGAAUGAAGAUUGCUCUUUGUUACCUCACCGCUUCGAUGGAGUUGAUACCACGCUGGGAUGGCUGCACAGCCUCAGGAGCCUCUUGGAGACCGAUGUUCUGUGAUGCUUUUUGAGUGUCACCCCACAGGCUUCUGGUGCUGGGCAGGCAAAGGCCGUGUGGGUGCAUGGCUGAGGGCACAGGAGAGGAACGCUGCAGCUUCCCUGAGCCGUGGGCAUCGCUGCAGAGAGCUGCUGUAGGGCUCAGCAGCUGAAGGGCAGCACAGCACGGCUUUCCUGCAUCCCGUGGCUGCAGACUUGCUGCUGAGGGGGGCAGCACACCCCACAGCACAGCCAGAGAGCAGUGCAAAGGAAUUCCCUCCCCCACCGGGUGUUCACUGAUCCCACCUGAGCACACAGCUCCUCCUGGGCUGCUCAGUGCUAAGCAAACCCCAUUUGUCAGAUCCCUCUCAGUAUGUUGCUGCAACACUGCUCUCACCUGCAUUGCCCCUCUCCACAGUGUCGCCUUCUUGCCAUGACUGCCAGCUAAGAGGAGGCUUAAUUUUCUGCUGGUAUUCUGCAGCUCCCUCUGCACUCUCUCCCUCUUCCUCAGUGGGUCUGCUUAGCAGUGCAUGUUGGAUGAAAUUCAUACGUUCUGUUUGUGAUUGAGUGUAAUAAACUCUGGCUCCUGUGCCUUCCAGGUGGCUUUUGGGCAUGCAGCAUUUACUGCGUGAAGUGAUUGAUCUCUGAUCUUUAAAAUAGAGCUGUGAAGUCUACGGUGCAUUUGCAUGCAUGUGGAGUAUGAAGGCAGGAAAGAGCAGCUCAGAAACUCUCUAACCCCUGCCCUUUAUUUCCUUGGGUUGAGUUUUCCAUGUUUGACAAUGCGCGCGGUGGUGAUUUAUGUAUAACCAGAGCAGCCCCCAGUGGUCGGAUCUGUGAACUUUUCCAAGCUGCCCUUUUUGCAGCUCGCUCGUGGGUUUUGCAGAACCCCAACCCCUAUUUACCUCCGUGCUCUGAGCUCCGUUUAGGAGGAGAGGGACAGCUGGGAGCUGCGGGUGCGCUGCUUAUUCUGCUGGGAGCCAAUUCUGCCUCUAAUUGAGCUGAAAGCAGCUGCUCUGCCCUCGCCGCCGCAGGCCUGCUGUGCACAGCAGUUUUUGACAAUAGCUGAGAUAUAGGGAUACAGCGCUGCCUGUGCCAGCAUCCCACCCCUGCUGUACAGCAGCACCCC
Molecule: long non-coding RNA, 2400 nt
Organism: Gallus gallus (chicken)
Lineage: Eukaryota; Metazoa; Chordata; Aves; Galliformes; Phasianidae
Source: Ensembl